This 498-nucleotide ribosomal RNA is filed under the name uncultured bacterium. Its description in RNAcentral is "partial 16S ribosomal RNA". It matches the Rfam family "Bacterial small subunit ribosomal RNA", at positions 28 to 523 of the family's 1533-position model. The record is from RNAcentral.
GGCGAACGCUAGCGGCAGGCCUAAUACAUGCAAGCUGAACGGUAAAUGUUGUAGCAAUACGAUAUGAGAGUAGCGUAAGGGUGCGUAACACGUAUGCAAUCUACCCGCAACAGGAGGAUAGCUCCCCGAAAGGGGAAUUAAUACUCCAUAAUAUCAAGAGAGGGCAUCUGAUUGUGAUUAAACUCCAAGGGGUUGCGGAUGAGCAUGCGUCUGAUUAGUUAGUUGGUGAGGUAACGGCUCACCAAGACGAUGAUCAGUAGGGGAACUGAGAGGUUGAUCCCCCACACUGGCACUGAGAUACGGGCCAGACUCCUACGGGAGGCAGCAGUAGGGAAUAUUGGUCAAUGGGUGAGAGCCUGAACCAGCCAUGCCGCGUGCAGGAAGAAAGCCUUCUGGGUUGUAAACUGCUUUUGCCAGGGGAUAAAAUACCCAUGCGUGGGGAAUUGAAGGUACCUGGUGAAUAAGCCACGGCUAACUACGUGCCAGCCGCCGCGGUAA